CGUGGCCAGAAUCACACUUGACUACUAGUUAUCAGUGUGCUAGAGUUUUCACAGAGUAACUGCUGGCCUUAGUCACUAGCUGUGGCCCUCAAGGCACAGUCAGUCACCAGGUUUGACAUGC
This is a small nucleolar RNA of Otolemur garnettii (small-eared galago), 121 nucleotides long. Lineage: Eukaryota; Metazoa; Chordata; Mammalia; Primates; Galagidae. The record is from Ensembl.